UAGACUGCCUAUUCAUGUAGUACAAGUUAGACGAAUAUUAAGGUCAAUAGAUAGGUUUCAAUUCAGUGGAGGUCGGGGUGUUAUACCUGCUUACGAGAAUUUCAUGCAUUAUUUCCAAGCAAUUGAUUGGAAGGAACCUUGGAUUAUGGGAUUAAUUGCGUUUCAUGCUCUGGUGCUAAUUGUGAAGGUCUCAACUUCCAUAUGUUCUUGUUCUUAUUGGUUUAAGCUCCCUUUCGUUCUGAUCUACAUAUCUUUUCCUUGUAGACUAGCAUGGUAGACUACAAACAAUUAUUUGGACGUCUCAGGGUCCAUGGUUAGAGAGUACACCAUCCAUAGGGAGUAAGGGUUUACAAGGGUCAUUG
Molecule: long non-coding RNA, 362 nt
Organism: Brassica oleracea var. oleracea
Lineage: Eukaryota; Viridiplantae; Streptophyta; Magnoliopsida; Brassicales; Brassicaceae
Exons: 3
Source: RefSeq, a predicted model, not a curated record